CCUACGGGAGGCAGCAGUGGGGAAUAUUGGACAAUGGACGAGAGUCUGAACCAGCCAAGCAGCGUGAAGGAUGACUGCCCUCUGGGUUGUAAACUUUUUUUAUAUGGGAAUAAAAUGUUCCACGUGUGGGAUUUUGUAUGUACCAUAUGAAUAAGGAUCGGCUAACUCCGUGCCAGCAGCCGCGGUAAUACGGAGGGUCCGAGCGUUAUCCGGAUUUAUUGGGUGUAAAGGGAGCGUAGGUGGAGUGUUAAGUCAGUUGUGAAAGUGUGCGGCUCAACCGUAAAAUUGCAGUUGAAACUGGCUGUCUUGAGUACAGUAGAGGUGGGCGGAAUUCGUGGUGUAGCGGUGAAAUGCGUAGAUAUCACGAGGAACUCCGAUUGCGAAGGCAGCUCCCUGGACUGCAACUGACGCUGAGGCUCGAAAGUGUGGGUAUCAAACAGGAUUAGAUACCCUAGUAGUC
Molecule: ribosomal RNA, 460 nt
Filed under: uncultured bacterium
Lineage: Bacteria
Description: partial 16S ribosomal RNA
Rfam family: Bacterial small subunit ribosomal RNA
Source: RNAcentral